CACGUAGGUGGCGAGCGUUAUUCGGAUUCACUGGGCGUAAAGGGUCCGCAGGGGGCCUGCCAAGUCUGUCGUGAAAACCCGGGGCUCAACCCCGGGCCUGCGGUGGAAACAGGCGGGCUGGAGUGUGUGAGGGGCAGACGGAACACCUGGUGUAGCGGUGGAAUGCGUGGAUAUCAGGUGGAACACCGAUGGCGAAGGCGGUCUGCUGGCACACAACUGACCCUCAGGGACGAAAGCGUGGGUAGCAAACAGGAUUAGAUACCCUGGUAGUCCACGCUGUAAACGUUGAGAACUAGAUAUGGUGGGGCUGGCCCCCUCCGUGUCCAAGCAAACGCGAUAAGUUCUCCGCCUGGGGACUACGGCCGCAAGGCUAAAACUCAAAGGAAUUGACGGGGGCCCGCACAAGCGGUGGAGCAUGUUGCUUAAUUCGAGGCAACGCGAAGAACCUUACCCAGGUUUGACAUGCAUAUGACCGGUGGUGAAAGCCGCCUUCCCUUCGGGGCGUAUGCACAGAUGCUGCAUGGCU
Molecule: ribosomal RNA, 526 nt
Filed under: uncultured bacterium
Lineage: Bacteria
Description: bacterial SSU rRNA
Rfam family: Bacterial small subunit ribosomal RNA
Source: RNAcentral